Apodemus sylvaticus (European woodmouse) is the source of this 106-nucleotide small nuclear RNA. NCBI's taxonomy places the organism in Eukaryota, Metazoa, Chordata, Mammalia, Rodentia, Muridae. The record is from RefSeq and is a predicted model, not a curated record.
GUGCUUGCUUCAGUAGCACACAUAUUAAAAUUGAACGAUAUGGAGAAGAUCAGUGUGGCCCCUGCACAAGGAAGACACACAAAUUCGUGCAGUGUUCCAUAUUUUC